AUAUUUUAUGCAUUCCGGCCACAAUAAAGAGAGAUAAUUAUUGAACAUUUUAGCAAUAGUAGAAUGGUUCGCUUUUUCGAGUACUUCACAAUUUAAAAGAAAUAUUUUUCUAGAACAAUCCAUUUUUAAAGCGCCUAUGAAGUUGGCAAUCAAACGUACUUCUGUGUCAAUUGUUCCAUCCAAAGAAAUCCAGAUUUUCUUAUCUGCUACAUAUUGAAUUUAUUUUAUUCGUGGUAUUGUAACAUUUGGU
Molecule: non-coding RNA, 250 nt
Organism: Cinara cedri
Lineage: Eukaryota; Metazoa; Arthropoda; Insecta; Hemiptera; Aphididae
Source: the annotation of a GenBank genome assembly